Molecule: ribosomal RNA, 274 nt
Filed under: uncultured bacterium
Lineage: Bacteria
Description: partial 16S ribosomal RNA
Rfam family: Bacterial small subunit ribosomal RNA
Source: RNAcentral
AUACGAAUGGAGCGAGCGUUGUUCGGAAUCAUUGGGCGUAAAGCGUAUGUAGGCGGACUUGAAAGUCAGAAGUGAAAUCCCGAGGCUCAACCUCGGAAUUGCUUUUGAAACUCCAAGUCUCGAGUCCCGGAGGGGUUGACGGAAUUCCUAGUGUAGAGGUGAAAUUCGCAGAUAUUAGGAGGAACACCAGUGGCGUAGGCGGUCAACUGGACGGGUACUGACGCUGAGAUACGAAAGCGUGGGGAGCAAACAGGAUUAGAAACCCUAGUAGUCC